CCUACGGGAGGCAGCAGUGAGGAAUAUUGGUCAAUGGGCGCGAGCCUGAACCAGCCAAGUCGCGUGAGGGAAGACGGUCCUACGGAUUGUAAACCUCUUUUGUCGGGGAGUAAAAUACGCCACGCGUGGCGUUCCGAGAGUACUCGAAGAAAAAGCAUCGGCUAACUCCGUGCCAGCAGCCGCGGUAAUACGGAGGAUGCGAGCGUUAUCCGGAUUUAUUGGGUUUAAAGGGUGCGCAGGGGGACGAUAAAGUCAGCGGUAAAAUUGGGGGGCUCAACCUCUACGAGCCAUUGAGACUGGUAGUCUUGAGUAAAUGAGAGGUAUGCGGAAUGCGUGGUGUAGCGGUGAAAUGCAUAGAUAUCACGAAGAACUCCGAUUGCGAAGGCAGCAUACCGACGCUCAACUGACGCUGAUGCACGAAAGUGUGGGUAUCGAACAGGAUUAGAUACCCUAGUAGUC
RNAcentral lists this ribosomal RNA (459 nucleotides) under uncultured bacterium. RNAcentral describes it as "partial 16S ribosomal RNA". It matches the Rfam family "Bacterial small subunit ribosomal RNA", at positions 338 to 795 of the family's 1533-position model. The record is from RNAcentral.